This 1168-nucleotide ribosomal RNA is filed under the name Lysinibacillus sphaericus. RNAcentral describes it as "partial 16S ribosomal RNA". Lineage: Bacteria; Bacillati; Bacillota; Bacilli; Caryophanales; Bacillaceae. The record is from RNAcentral.
UACUAGCGAUUCCGGCUUCAUGUAGGCGAGUUGCAGCCUACAAUCCGAACUGAGAACGACUUUAUCGGGAUUAGCUCCCUCUCGCGAGUUGGCAACCGUUUGUAUCGUCCCAUUGUAGCACGUGUGUAGCCCAGGUCAUAAGGGGCAUGAUGAUUUGACGUCAUCCCCCACCUUCCUCCGGUUUGUCACCGGCAGUCACCUUAGAGUGCCCAACUAAAUGAUGGCAACUAAGAUCAAGGGUUGCGCUCGUUGCGGGACUUAACCCAACAUCUCACGACACGAGCUGACGACAACCAUGCACCACCUGUCACCGUUGCCCCCGAAGGGGAAACCAUAUCUCUACAGUGGUCAACGGGAUGUCAAGACCUGGUAAGGUUCUUCGCGUUGCUUCGAAUUAAACCACAUGCUCCACCGCUUGUGCGGGCCCCCGUCAAUUCCUUUGAGUUUCAGUCUUGCGACCGUACUCCCCAGGCGGAGUGCUUAAUGCGUUAGCUGCAGCACUAAGGGGCGGAAACCCCCUAACACUUAGCACUCAUCGUUUACGGCGUGGACUACCAGGGUAUCUAAUCCUGUUUGCUCCCCACGCUUUCGCGCCUCAGUGUCAGUUACAGACCAGAUAGUCGCCUUCGCCACUGGUGUUCCUCCAAAUCUCUACGCAUUUCACCGCUACACUUGGAAUUCCACUAUCCUCUUCUGCACUCAAGUCUCCCAGUUUCCAAUGACCCUCCACGGUUGAGCCGUGGGCUUUCACAUCAGACUUAAGAAACCACCUGCGCGCGCUUUACGCCCAAUAAUUCCGGACAACGCUUGCCACCUACGUAUUACCGCGGCUGCUGGCACGUAGUUAGCCGUGGCUUUCUAAUAAGGUACCGUCAAGGUACAGCCAGUUACUACUGUACUUGUUCUUCCCUUACAACAGAGUUUUACGAACCGAAAUCCUUCUUCACUCACGCGGCGUUGCUCCAUCAGGCUUUCGCCCAUUGUGGAAGAUUCCCUACUGCUGCCUCCCGUAGAGUCUGGGCCGUGUCUCAGUCCCAGUGUGGCCGAUCACCCUCUCAGUCGGCUACGCAUCGUCGCCUUGGUGAGCCGUUACCUCCACCAACUAGCUAUGCGCCGCGGGCCCAUCCUAUAGCGACAGCCGAAACCGUCUUUCAAUAUUUCACCAUGA